RNAcentral lists this long non-coding RNA (6125 nucleotides) under Zea mays. RNAcentral describes it as "long non-coding RNA (ZMAY_LNC002848)". Lineage: Eukaryota; Viridiplantae; Streptophyta; Magnoliopsida; Poales; Poaceae. The record is from RNAcentral.
CCAAAGCUAACUAUCAUUAUCAGUUCUCACCUGCAGUGAAACAAGAAACAAGAUGAUGAAGGUGGCAUCAAUGUUUAAUCUUGGCACUGUCACAUUGGCUAGUAAAACUCAUGCAGGUAGGAUUGUUCGCAAAAAAAAAAAAAAAAAAGAGGACCAAACUUCCUCCAUCAAACGAUUACCCCAAGGAACCAUAGUCGGUAGUAAGAACCCUGGUUGCACAACCAGUCAUAAAGAUGGCUACUGGGAAAAUGUAUGAUCACUAGCCAUAGCCACUUAAUGGAAAGAAAGCUACACUACAGAACUGUGGCCAUAAAAGGAUGACUGUGUAGGAACCAAAAAAUCCAAUUAUAAUGGGUAACAAGCAAUUAAUGAGGAAAUAAACUGAAAACGCCAUUGACUGACAAAAGCCCAUGACUGGAUGUGCUGUUGAUCACAUACCACCAGAGUGCAAGCUAAUUGCUGGUCUUAAGGCACUGUUGACGCCUUUUUGGAGCGCCAAACACUCAAGAAGAACCGGCGGCGGUGCUCUCUGCACAGGGGCGGACGGUCCGCGCGCAGGGGCCGGACGGUCCGCGGCCUGGUGCGAGGCGCGGUGGUGCUCUCUGCGCAGGGGCAGACUGUCCGCGGCCUGUGGCCGGACGGUCCGCGGCCUGGUGCGCGGCUAGGGCUUCUCUGCCUGACGGUCGGACGGUCCGCGCCCUGGGGGCCGGACGGUCCGCGCGUACGCAGAGGCGGCGGAAGUCGCCGGCGGCGCCUGGAUCUCGCUCCCGGGAGGGACCCCGUCGGGGAGGAGAGAUCCUAGGUGGUGUCUAGGCUCGGGCCGGCCGACCUAGACUCCUCUAAUCGACGUAGAGCCGAAGAGAGACGAAGAAUUUGAGGAUUGGGAGGCUAAACCUAAACUAGACUAGAACUACUCCUAGGAUAAAAUGCGAAUAAAAGUUGUAUUGAUUCGAUUGAUGAUGAUUACAAAUCGGCCGUAGACCUCUCUAUUUAUAGAGGAGGGGGGCUGGACCCUUUACACAACUGAUUCCGAGCUAAUCCCGCGAAUAUAGCUAACAACCGUAGCACAAAACUCGGAACCCUAAUCUGUUCUGCGCACGCGCGGACCGUCCGGCCCACAGGCGCGGACCGUCCGGACCGCGGACCGUCCGGCCUCAGGGCCGGACCGUCCGCACGCUCAAUUCUGGUUCGAACAUAUGCCCCCCUGCCUUUUGGUGGAGCUGGGCGAACCAAAAGCAACUAACUCGAUGUUAUCACAUCGGUUUUCUUAGGCAUCUUGCCACUUACUAGGAUGGUACGCAGUGGCCUUGGUCUCGAUGGUUGACUCAACGGACGCGAUCCCUUUAGAUUUGAUCGAACUGUCAGUCCCAACAUCGCCGAGCGUCAUACUGGUCCUGACCAAUUCGUCACCUUGUCUUCCUAAUUCUCUAAGUGUUCUGGCGUAGCUCCGUAGUCGACCAGGUCUUCUCCUUGCAGGUCGUCUUCCUCCAUGGGCGUCGGUACGUCGUCGGAGGUGUCUUGGUGUAGUGCGGAUGGUUUGGCCUCAGGGGUCGGAUGGUCCGCGUCCUGUGCAGAUGAUCCGGCCUUUAUAGCCGGACAGUCUACCAUACCUGCAGAGAGAUGCACAGUUGUUGUUUUAUUUACUAUCUUUGUGGCCGUUUGACUUUUCUCAACGGCCUUUGGUCUCCAUCUCUUUUGCGGUGGCGGAUACUGCGGAUGCGUGUCAUUGAAUAUUCUUUCUGCCUCUUUUUCCUGAUUCUCCUUUGCUCUGAGGCGCUGUAAUUUUCGCUUUUGCGAUCGUGUCAAUUCCGAUGGACACCAUCGGGGCAUGGAGUAUUUUGGAUCGGCUAUUUUAUUGACAGUCGUACUUUCUUUUUUGUUUGUGUUGGCCGAUUCACCAAAAAUCAUCGGCCCUUCGUUAUUUUGUUGUACGACGACAUCUGUCGCUCCUAUUUUAAUGACCUCUCCCUUUUUCGUACUGUUGGAGGUUAUAGCUGUAUGUCCCCCUGCCGGAUUAGUCAGCCUUUGGGGCUGAGUUGUUCGGCAAUCUUGCUGGGCCUGUGCUCGUGGACCAGAUUGAGGGGCUCUCAAUCGGUCUUGUACUGGAGGUGUCAACCUAUUGAAUACAGAUGUUUGGGGUGCCCCCCAAGCGGGGUACUGUGGCAUCCCAAAUGGAUAUGGUGGCAUGCCCCACAUUUGAUUUGGGACAUAUGGUGGAGGUAUGUAUGUGUAUGGAUAUGACAUAGGUGGAUAUGGUGGUGGAGGUGUCCAUGCAGGUACGUUAGGUCUUAAUUGAACAUUAUGACCUUCCGUCCUUUCCGAUUGGUGUGGUGGUCCAAUCGGCCUAACCUGCCGUCGCACCUGGGUGGGUAAGCGAGGUCCCUUUGGUGGCCGGUCACUGGAGCCAGCCUUCUUUUUCACAUAUUUAGACAAUAAUUGAUCAAAGGUCGGGCUAGAUUUUACCAACCGACCAGUUGCCUUGAAUGUGUUAGUUUUCCACGUACCUAUUUCUGGUCGUCGUGGUUUGAAGGUACGUGGUUGCCGCGGCUCUUUGACGUUGCCGGACCGUCCGUCGGAACGCUUCGAACCGUCCGGUGAUGUUACGGACCGUCCGCGCCUAGACACCAGACCGUCCGCGAUGCGUAGUAUGGGUUCUCGCGCAUAUCCCCUUGUCUGUGCUUGCCCCCCAGCGCUGGAGUUUGUGAUGGUUACCUUCAGUGUCUCCCCUCCAUCAGGAGUCUUCUCGGCCAUCACUUUCCUGCAAGAAAUUUUGUUGUUUCCAUCGGCCUCCCGUGCGUUGCCGAUGAUGACUUCUUUGUCUUUGCCCUUAUCGGCUGUGUUGGGCCGAAUUAGGACCUUUUUGCCAUUAAAGUCGAUCACAUUCAUUGGGAAGGGCUCCGUGUCCUCCUGAAAUUUCAAUCGUCCCUCAUUAAUGGCCGAUUGAAUUUGUCGUCGGAACACAUUACAAUCAUUAGUGGCAUGUGAAAAUGAGUUGUGCCACUUGCAGUAUGCGCGACGCUUUAGUUCGUCGGCAGGUGGAACGAUAUAAUCAAUUUUAAUGUUACCAUUUUUUAGUAAUUCAUCGAAUAUCUUAUCACAUUUGCCGACAUUAAAUGUAAACUUAACCUCCUCUUGUCGUUCCUUUUGAACUGACUGCAAGGAGUAGCAAGCCGAAGAUUUGGCCUGCUCGGGCCAAACUAUUUCGGCAGUGUAAACUUUCUUUGGUUCAUCGUCCGAACUACUUUGAUUGUGUUCUACUAUAGGGACAUUAUGAUGAACCGUUCUGACUAGUUCUUUGCUUCGGUUUUCACAAGCCGAAGCUCUCUGAUGUAAUUGUGCUAGAGUAAAGAACUGGAUGCCUUCUAAUCUCUCUUUUAAAUAAUAGCGCAAUCCAUCAAAGGCUAUUCCCGCCAGUUGUUUAUCUGUUAGAUGAAUUUGAAAGCAUCGGUUUCUCGUAUCCUGGAAUCUCCGGAUAUAAUCACUAACCGAUUCAUCCUUCUCUUGUCGUAGGGUCACUAAGUCUACUAAAUCUAGCUCAUAAUCACCAGAGAAGAAGUGUUCAUGAAAUUUUUGCUCUAAGUCUCCCCAUGACAAAAUGGAAUUAGGAGGGAGCGUGGCAUACCAUGUGAAUGCAGUCCCUGUUAAGGAUAAUGAAAAUAAACGCACACGGAAUGCUUCGGUGUCAGCCAAUUCUCCUAAUUGUGCUAGGAACUGGCCUAUGUGCUCACGCGUGCUCUUUCCUUGGUCACCCGAAAACUUUGCAAACUCGGGUAUCCUAGUUCCCUGUGGGUAUGGGUGGUGAUCAAAUCGGCUGUCAUAAGGCUUCCGAUAUGAUUGCCCCCCAUGGAUCAUGCUUACUCCGAGCUUAUCUCGGAACGCCCCGGCUAUUUCUUCUCUCACUAUACCAAUGGCAGCCGGUGCAAGACCACCGGCUCUCUGGUCAAACAUAGGUGGGGUUGGUUGCAUGUUAGUAUGUUGUCGUUUCCCCCAUUGGUUUGAGCUACGUGGUGCAUUUCCAUUUGCGCUAUAUGGCUCAUAUGUUUGAUCGUUUCUUUCCGGCCUUCUAGGUGGGGCCGGGAAGCUUUCCUGGGCUCUGGAUCCUGAAUUAAUGGGCUGGUGCAUUGCAUAAUGUGAUGGGAAGUGUUGUUGGGACGGGCGAGGAUUCAGGUAAUAAUCCCCCUCAAAAGACUCAUGCGCGGACUGUCCGGAUACGUACCCGGACCGUCCGUGAUUAUAUGCGGACCGUCCGUCGUUGUAUGCGGACCGUCCGACUGGAUAGUUUAAAUUCGGUGCCCUAUGUGGUGGCUCGGGUGCGUGUCUAGGUAACUCAUUAAAAAUGGGCCCGACUGUGGCUGACCCGGACGGUCCGCGCUCGCGAGCGGACGGUCCGGACAUGUGUAGAUCGGCUGGUUUACUGCCGAUUUGCGUUUGCUCAGGGUACGUGUCCAUCGGCAUCCCAUAAGGGGGUUGUGACUGGUCGUGACAACCUUUAGCCGAUGUAUUACGUGUAUUAUCUCCUAAUUCAACCUCGUGUGAAGGAAAAUUUGCUAUACUAGAUUUAUCAAAUGCACGUACUAGUCUCCUACAAUCGUUUUGCAUAACCCCUAUGAUAUUUUGCAUCUGUUCUCGCUGUUCGUCUAUGUAAGCUUUAAGAGAUUGGAGUUCGUUGGUGCUACUUACAUUUGGGGUAAUCGUAGUAGGUCGGAGCGAAGCCAGAUCUGUCGCCCGUUGCCGAACGACUUUGUUGUUCCUGUCCACUUUGAAGUCAGCCAGGAACUUCGCCUUUGCUUCUUGGAUCAGCUGCUCCUGGCGCUCCUCGAACAGAAGUUGUUCUUCAGCCGGCAAGGCUUCCCAUGUCGGUGUGAUGAUAUUGCUGGUGGAAACCUCAGAGCUAUCUUUUGAACCGGCCAUUGAGGGCCGAUUUGAUAGGUCUAUAUGUGUUGUCCCCAGCGGAGUCGCCAAAAAGUAUGUUGACGCCUUUUUGGAGCGCCAAACACUCAAGAAGAACCGGCGGCGGUGCUCUCUGCACAGGGGCGGACGGUCCGCGCGCAGGGGCCGGACGGUCCGCGGCCUGGUGCGAGGUGCGGUGGUGCUCUCUGCGCAGGGGCGGACUGUCCGCGGCCUGUGGCCGGACGGUCCGCGGCCUGGUGCGCGGCUAGGGCUUCUCUGCCUGACGGUCGGACGGUCCGCGCCCUGGGGGCCGGACGGUCCGCGCGUACGCAGAGGCGGCGGAAGUCGCCGGCGGCGCCUGGAUCUCGCUCCCGGGAGGGACCCCGUCGGGGAGGAGAGAUCCUAGGUGGUGUCUAGGCUCGGGCCGGCCGACCUAGACUCCUCUAAUCGACGUAGAGCCGAAGAGAGACGAAGAAUUUGAGGAUUGGGAGGCUAAACCUAAACUAGACUAGAACUACUCCUAGGAUAAAAUGCGAAUAAAAGUUGUAUUGAUUCGAUUGAUGAUGAUUACAAAUCGGCCGUAGACCUCUCUAUUUAUAGAGGAGGGGGGCUGGACCCUUUACACAACUGAUUCCGAGCUAAUCCCGCGAAUAUAGCUAACAACCGUAGCACAAAACUCGGAACCCUAAUCUGUUCUGCGCACGCGCGGACCGUCCGGCCCACAGGCGCGGACCGUCCGGACCGCGGACCGUCCGGCCUCAGGGCCGGACCGUCCGCACGCUCAAUUCUGAUUCGAACAGGCACCUACUACGUCAGUGAUAGAGGAACCAAGGUAAAAAAAAGCAUUUUCUGAUAUUCCAUAAAAUGAGUUGUACCUGGGGCAACAGCAUCCGGAUUCAUCGCAUACUUGGAGAUGGUACUAGGGCGCAACACAAGACUCGGGCAUCAGGUUCCCUUUCAGUGCCAAACUCAGCUGCGCCUCGUACAUACUUGAUUAAAUCACCUAACCCUAAAUCCAUAUGGAACUGGUAGAAAAGGAAGCUCAAAAAUGGAAUGUUCAGUUUUGAAAAUCAGACUUGGGCAAAUUUCAGACCUACUGGGUUUUGCAGUCUGAAGCAGUUUUGGGAUGCUCCUUAAGGGCUGAUCCUCAUAGUUCUGGUUUAUAAGUUCUGUACCAAAGUAGAAGUCCAUACUUUGGUGUACAAGUUUGAUUAAGGAUAAUACCACUAAAACCA